Molecule: ribosomal RNA, 301 nt
Filed under: uncultured bacterium
Lineage: Bacteria
Description: partial 16S ribosomal RNA
Rfam family: Bacterial small subunit ribosomal RNA
Source: RNAcentral
CAGUAGCCGCGGGAAUACGUAGGGUGCGAGCGUUAAUCGGAAUUACUGGGCGUAAAGCGUGCGCAGGCGGUUUUGUAGGACAGGCGUGAAAUCCCCGGGCUCAACCUGGGAAUGGCGCUUGUGACUGCAAAGCUAGAGUGCGGCAGAGGGGGAUGGAAUUCCGCGUGUAGCAGUGAAAUGCGUAGAUAUGCGGAGGAACACCGAUGGCGAAGGCAAUCCCCUGGGCCUGCACUGACGCUCAUGCACGAAAGCGUGGGGAGCAAACAGGAUUAGAUACCCCCGUAGUCCCUGUCUCUUAUAA